Molecule: long non-coding RNA, 348 nt
Organism: Magnolia sinica
Lineage: Eukaryota; Viridiplantae; Streptophyta; Magnoliopsida; Magnoliales; Magnoliaceae
Exons: 3
Source: RefSeq, a predicted model, not a curated record
GGAGAGGAAUCUUACCUCUGAUGCCGAGAUAGGUAGAGGUGAUGUCUACUUAAGAGCCCAUACGAGCAAGGACAAAGUCGUCCAGUAUCCUGACCUUGUUCAAAAACUAGAUGAGCUUUAUAGUAGCAAUCCUGCUUCUAAGAUGACCGGCGUUGACGAUGCCCUUACACAGUUGGUUGGUUCUGAUAGUAGAGGACGAAUGCGUGGUCUGGGUUGCUCGAUAAGCAAAACAGGACUGAAGAAGUCAACCCCUGCCCGUUCAAAGCUACAUAAUAUGGCAAAAGAAAGAGAAGGCCUAGCGCAGGAGAUAUUAGAGAUAAAGAAAUCAUUGAUUGAUAUAAAGUCCUG